Molecule: non-coding RNA, 32 nt
Filed under: Escherichia coli
Lineage: Bacteria; Pseudomonadati; Pseudomonadota; Gammaproteobacteria; Enterobacterales; Enterobacteriaceae
Source: RNAcentral
CCCGGUAGCCAGGUUUGCAACGCCUGAACCGA